Molecule: ribosomal RNA, 843 nt
Filed under: Virgibacillus sp. JAS19
Lineage: Bacteria; Bacillati; Bacillota; Bacilli; Caryophanales; Bacillaceae
Description: bacterial SSU rRNA
Rfam family: Bacterial small subunit ribosomal RNA
Source: RNAcentral
AAUACAUGCAAGUCGAGCGCGGGAAGCAAGCUGAUCCUCUUCGGAGGUGACGCUUGUGGAACGAGCGGCGGACGGGUGAGUAACACGUGGGCAACCUGCCUGUAAGACUGGGAUAACCCCGGGAAACCGGGGCUAAUACCGGAUAAUACUUUUCAUCACCUGAUGAGAAAGUUGAAAGGUGGCUUUUAGCUACCACUUACAGAUGGGCCCGCGGCGCAUUAGCUAGUUGGUGAGGUAACGGCUCACCAAGGCAACGAUGCGUAGCCGACCUGAGAGGGUGAUCGGCCACACUGGGACUGAGACACGGCCCAGACUCCUACGGGAGGCAGCAGUAGGGAAUCUUCCGCAAUGGACGAAAGUCUGACGGAGCAACGCCGCGUGAGUGAUGAAGGUUUUCGGAUCGUAAAGCUCUGUUGUUAGGGAAGAACAAGUGCCGUUCGAAUAGGGCGGCACCUUGACGGUACCUAACCAGAAAGCCCCGGCUAACUACGUGCCAGCAGCCGCGGUAAUACGUAGGGGGCAAGCGUUGUCCGGAAUUAUUGGGCGUAAAGCGCGCGCAGGCGGUCCUUUAAGUCUGAUGUGAAAGCCCACGGCUCAACCGUGGAGGGUCAUUGGAAACUGGAGGACUUGAGUACAGAAGAGGAGAGUGGAAUUCCACGUGUAGCGGUGAAAUGCGUAGAGAUGUGGAGGAACACCAGUGGCGAAGGCGACUCUCUGGUCUGUAACUGACGCUGAGGCGCGAAAGCGUGGGGAGCGAACAGGAUUAGAUACCCUGGUAGUCCACGCCGUAAACGAUGAGUGCUAGGUGUUAGGGGGUUUCCGCCCCUUAGUGCUGAAGUUAAC